GAUGAACGCUGGCGGCGUGCCUAAUACAUGCAAGUCGAGCGAACAGACGAGGAGCUUGCUCCUCUGACGUUAGCGGCGGACGGGUGAGUAACACGUGGAUAACCUACCUAUAAGACUGGGAUAACUUCGGGAAACCGGAGCUAAUACCGGAUAAUAUAUUGAACCGCAUGGUUCAAUAGUGAAAGACGGUUUUGCUGUCACUUAUAGAUGGAUCCGCGCCGCAUUAGCUAGUUGGUAAGGUAACGGCUUACCAAGGCAACGAUGCGUAGCCGACCUGAGAGGGUGUACGGCGACGCUGGAACUGAGACACGGGCCAGACUCCGACGGGAGGCAGCAGUAGGGAAUCUUCCGCAAUGGGCGAAAGCCUGACGGAGCAACGCCGCGUGAGUGAUGAAGGUCUUCGGAUCGUAAAACUCUGUUAUUAGGGAAGAACAAAUGUGUAAGUAACUAUGCACGUCUUGACGGUACCUAAUCAGAAAGCCACGGCUAACUACGUG
Molecule: ribosomal RNA, 497 nt
Filed under: uncultured bacterium
Lineage: Bacteria
Description: partial 16S ribosomal RNA
Rfam family: Bacterial small subunit ribosomal RNA
Source: RNAcentral